RNAcentral lists this ribosomal RNA (253 nucleotides) under uncultured bacterium. RNAcentral describes it as "partial 16S ribosomal RNA". It matches the Rfam family "Bacterial small subunit ribosomal RNA", at positions 524 to 776 of the family's 1533-position model. The record is from RNAcentral.
UACGGGGGGGGCAAGCGUUGUUCGGAAUUACUGGGCGUAAAGGGCUCGUAGGCGGCCAACUAAGUCGGAUGUGAAAUCCCCAGGCUUAACCUGGGAACUGCAUCCGAUACUGGAUGGCUUGAAUCCGGGAGAGGGAUGCAGAAUUCCAGGUGUAGCGGUGAAAUGCGUAGAUAUCUGGAGGAACACCGGUGGCGAAGGCAGCUCACUGGGACGGUAUGGACGCUGAGACGCGAAAGCGUGGGGAGCAAACAGG